This 527-nucleotide long non-coding RNA is filed under the name Populus euphratica (Euphrates poplar). Lineage: Eukaryota; Viridiplantae; Streptophyta; Magnoliopsida; Malpighiales; Salicaceae. The record is from RNAcentral.
AAUUAUGCUAGUCACUGCCAAUUAUAUAAGUAAUGAUUUGUUAUUUGCUAGCAAAAUCUCCCAAUAGUUUUAAAUUUUAGGAUCAAGUUUCCCGUACUGAGCUUUCAAGUGAGCUUCCCUCUCUUCUAAAUAUGCAGGUUCUGAUCAAAGUAAUUAUAUAAGUAAUGAUUUGUUAUUUGCUAGCAAAAUCUCCCAAUAGUUUUAAAUUUUAGGAUCAAGUUUCCCGUACUGAGCUUUCAAGUGAGCUUCCCUCUCUUCUAAAUAUGCAGGUUCUGAUCAAAGUAAUUAUAACUCAAUGACAGAUAACUCAACUCCGGAUCGAAACUCAAACCAAAUGUAGUGUGUGGACCAUGAUCACGAGGUUUACAGGAAGGGAAGUGCAGUGAAUCUGACAUGAUUUAAUUUGCAAACCCAAAAACCCUUUUUUUCUUUCACACUUUCCAGUAGCCGAGCACAGCUUUCUAUAUUGGGAUUUUUAUGAGUUAAGAUGGUAGAGAGAAGGGCAAGAUGCUGGGUCAUGCUCUUGC